GGUUUCCCUUUACGAAUUGUAGUUUAAAGAAGUGUUUUCUGUUGAGGUUUUGGUAAAAGUUCUUUGGAAUAGGACAUCAUAGAGGGUGAGAAUCCCGUAUUUGACCUUUACUUUCAACUUUGUGAUACACUUUCAAAGAGUCGGAUUGUUUGGGAAUGCAGUCCAAAAUGGGUGGUAAAUUUCAUCUAAAGCUAAAUAUUGGCGAGAGACCGAUAGCGAACAAGUACCGUGAGGGAAAGAUGAAAAGAACUUUGAAAAGAGAGUUAAACAGUACGUGAAAUUGUCAAAAGGGAAGCGUUUGACACCAGUGUUGUUUUUCUGAAAAUCAAUUAAAGAACUGUUUAUGCUAAGUUGUUUAGACUUUAUCAGCUAACUGUUUAGUUUUGAGCUUUUCUUU
RNAcentral lists this ribosomal RNA (397 nucleotides) under uncultured Neocallimastigomycetes. Its description in RNAcentral is "eukaryotic LSU rRNA". It matches the Rfam family "Eukaryotic large subunit ribosomal RNA", at positions 127 to 516 of the family's 3401-position model. The record is from RNAcentral. Lineage: Eukaryota; Fungi; Neocallimastigomycota; Neocallimastigomycetes.